This 465-nucleotide ribosomal RNA is filed under the name Vreelandella stevensii. RNAcentral describes it as "partial 16S ribosomal RNA". It matches the Rfam family "Bacterial small subunit ribosomal RNA", at positions 338 to 795 of the family's 1533-position model. Lineage: Bacteria; Pseudomonadati; Pseudomonadota; Gammaproteobacteria; Oceanospirillales; Halomonadaceae. The record is from RNAcentral.
CCUACGGGGGGCAGCAGUGGGGAAUAUUGGACAAUGGGCGAAAGCCUGAUCCAGCCAUGCCGCAUGUGUGAAGAAGGCCUUCGGGUUGUAAAGCACUUUCAGUGGGGAAGAAAGCCUUGGGGCUAAUACCCUCGAGGAAGGACAUCACCCACAGAAGAAGCACCGGCUAACUCCGUGCCAGCAGCCGCGGUAAUACGGAGGGUGCGAGCGUUAAUCGGAAUUACUGGGCGUAAAGCGCGCGUAGGCGGUCUGAUAAGCCGGUUGUGAAAGCCCCGGGCUCAACCUGGGAACGGCAUCCGGAACUGUCAGGCUAGAGUGCAGGAGAGGAAGGUAGAAUUCCCGGUGUAGCGGUGAAAUGCGUAGAGAUCGGGAGGAAUACCAGUGGCGAAGGCGGCCUUCUGGACUGACACUGACGCUGAGGUGCGAAAGCGUGGGUAGCAAACAGGAUUAGAUACCCCGGUAGUC